Molecule: ribosomal RNA, 408 nt
Filed under: uncultured bacterium
Lineage: Bacteria
Description: partial 16S ribosomal RNA
Rfam family: Bacterial small subunit ribosomal RNA
Source: RNAcentral
AGUGAACGCUGGCGGCGUGCCUAAUACAUGCAAGUCGAACGGAGUGGCGCACGGGUGAGUAAUAUAUAGCUAAUCUGCCCCUUGCUGGAGGACAACAGUUAGAAAUGACUGCUAAUACUCCAUAGUAAUGGAUGAGACUAUAUCGUAUCAGCUAGUCGGUGGGGUAACGGCCUACCGAGUCUAUGACGCGUAACUGGUCUGAGAGGAUGAUCAGUGACAUUGGAACUGAGACACGGUCCAAGCUGUGACGGGAAGGAGCAGUAGGGAAUAGUUCGCAAUCGGGGAAACUGUGAAGCGGCAGCGGGGCGUGGAGGAUGACCCUUUUCGGAGCAUAAACUCCUGUUGUUAGGGAAGCGGUACCUAAAGAAUAAGCACCGGCUAACUCCGUGCCAGCAGCCGCGGUAAUAC